RNAcentral lists this ribosomal RNA (350 nucleotides) under uncultured Micrococcus sp. Its description in RNAcentral is "bacterial SSU rRNA". It matches the Rfam family "Bacterial small subunit ribosomal RNA", at positions 790 to 1136 of the family's 1533-position model. Lineage: Bacteria; Bacillati; Actinomycetota; Actinomycetes; Micrococcales; Micrococcaceae. The record is from RNAcentral.
GUAGUCCAUGCCGUAAACGUUGGGCACUAGGUGUGGGGACCAUUCCACGGUUUCCGCGCCGCAGCUAACGCAUUAAGUGCCCCGCCUGGGGAGUACGGCCGCAAGGCUAAAACUCAAAGGAAUUGACGGGGGCCCGCACAAGCGGCGGAGCAUGCGGAUUAAUUCGAUGCAACGCGAAGAACCUUACCAAGGCUUGACAUGUUCUCGAUCGCCGUAGAGAUACGGUUUCCCCCUUUGGGGCGGGUUCACAGGUGGUGCAUGGUUGUCGUCAGCUCGUGUCGUGAGAUGUUGGGUUAAGUCCCGCAACGAGCGCAACCCUCGUUCCAUGUUGCCAGCACGUCGUGGUGGGG